RNAcentral lists this long non-coding RNA (1419 nucleotides) under Setaria italica (foxtail millet). RNAcentral describes it as "long non-coding RNA (SITA_LNC001991)". Lineage: Eukaryota; Viridiplantae; Streptophyta; Magnoliopsida; Poales; Poaceae. The record is from RNAcentral.
AGCACCCUGCGCAUCGGAACAGAUUCCUCCAUCAGGGAAAGGAGAAGGGGCAAAUUAUCUGUUGAAGACUUGAAGUGUUGGUUUGAGGUGUAAGAGGUGUGUGCGUCACCUGCAGUCUUUGCUGAUGGCACGACUAGAAAGAAGGGUAUCGGUGCUCAGCCGAUCUUCCAGACUCGCUUUCGACACCCGGUACUCGAACUCCCCUGCGUAACAACCAAAACAUUGCAAUAAGCCUGUGACUUUACAAAUGAAUCCUGAUGUUUCUAGCCUGCAUUGAUGUUUGAUGCCGUAACUAGGGCUUAAAGGUGUUGCACAUUGUAAUCCAUCAUAGGUUGAGACUAAUCCCUAAAGAUAAGGCUUUAGAUUUUCUGCGGUUAAGUUUCUAGCUGCUCAGUAGACUAACUUUAUGGCAUCUGCAGUGAACCGAAAAAGAAUAAAGCCAUCAUUGGCACCAACCCUGUUAAAAAAAUUAAUGCAUCAAGGCCUACUGCAUCAUGCUAGUGGCAUAGUAAUCAUUCUAUCAGUAACAAAAAGGCACUCCAAUACAGCUGUAAGCGCUAUGAGCACCCACUUUAUAUAAUCGUUCUACUAGGUUGGCAUAUGUCCUAGCUUGGCAAGGGUGAGCCAAACCACCGACAGUAUAGUUUAACUUUUGAUAGUUACAAGAUUGACACAAGAUCAGAUGCAUUUCUUUGACCUUGUACUAUUUAAUUAGAAAACUUUACAAUAUUCAGUUAAAUUAAAGAGUUAUAGCAUUAACAGAAAAGGAUACCACAAAGAAAGCUUAUACCUUUUUUAUUCUUGACAUCUAUGUACCCAUCUUUAUUUAUUCUCUGCAUGAAAUUCUUCCCAAGGCGGCCGUCAAUACCUCGCUCUAAUGCAAAUCGGCCAGAAAUGUUCACAAUAAUGGGGACAUCAUGGUACUUGGAAGCAUACAGAAGCACAGCAUUUCCUCCUGAAGGUAAGGAAUACAACUAAUAAGACCAUAUAAUGUCAAUUGCGUUGUCAAUUACUCACAAAGAUGAAAACACAUCAUGAGAAAAGGAAUGUCAUGCAAACUUGGCCAAGUAUUUUGAACAAUAGGAAUAAUGUCAAGUCUGAAAUUAUUCUCCUGCAAGCAAUAGUGGCACCAAAAUUUAAGGGAUAUCAGAAUACAUAUACAUGGCAGGUAUGGCACACUAAACUACUAAAAUGAUUACUUUCAGUUGUAGUGAAUGUUCCUCAACUCGACCUUCCAUGAAGCAACAAAAUCUCAGUACUUCAACUUUGCAUCCCUACCUAAUUCUGAUGGAAACUAUGCAUGCUAAUGCAAUUCUCAGCAUGAACAUACACUUUAUUGUGCAUAAUUGGAAUCAACACAAAAGGAGAACUUAGUGGAUAUAAACAGUGUUUGGAUAUGUCAACAGCUUACAUACCUUU